RNAcentral lists this ribosomal RNA (497 nucleotides) under uncultured bacterium. Its description in RNAcentral is "partial 16S ribosomal RNA". It matches the Rfam family "Bacterial small subunit ribosomal RNA", at positions 28 to 507 of the family's 1533-position model. The record is from RNAcentral.
GAUGAACGCUGGCGGCGUGCCUAAUACAUGCAAGUCGAGCGAACAGACGAGGAGCUUGCUCCUCUGACGUUAGCGGCGGACGGGUGAGUAACACGUGGAUAACCUACCUAUAAGACUGGGAUAACUUCGGGAAACCGGAGCUAAUACCGGAUAAUAUAUUGAACCGCAUGGUUCAAUAGUGAAAGACGGUUUUGCUGUCACUUAUAGAUGGAUCCGCGCCGCAUUAGCUAGUUGGUAAGGUAACGGCUUACCAAGGCAACGAUGCGUAGCCGACCUGAGAGGGUGGUCGCACACACUGUCUGAGAGAAACGUCACAGACUCUUGAGGGGGGCAGCAGUAGAGAAUCCUACGCAAUGGGGGAGUGCCUGAUGGAGCAACGUGGGGGGAGUGAUGAAGGACUUAUGAUCGUAAAACGAUGUUAGUAGGGAAGAAGUAAUGUGUAAGUAACUAUGCACGUCUUGACGGUACCUAAUCAGAAAGCCACGGCUAACUACGUG